AAAAAGACGGUCUAGUGUGAACAUCUCCUACCGCCACUUAAAAAAAACAUGCAAAAAGCAAAGAAAAACUUACAGCAGUUGCAUGUAGGACUUUCGCCGUCUUUUUCAAUGAUGUUACCCGCGAGCAAGCCUUCGAUGUCGGGGUCUUUAGUAAAAAAAAAAAAAGAUCUCCUCUUCUUCCACUGCGAGCGACCCUUCAAUGUCAAAACACUUUGGCUGGAAGUCCAUUAAAGACGAAUGCUCCUUCAAGACCAACCAGCAUGCCAGAGGCAUAAAAAUCUGGGAGGUCCUUUUGUACUCCGUCGGGGGUGUGGUCUCAAAGGACAACCUUCUUUUCGUUGCCAGUAUGCAUUUCCAAUUCCGGCUGCUUCGAGACAAGACGUCUAUCCACUUCUCCCGCAAAGACUCGGUUGGAGGAAUUUGAGUGCGAUUCAGAAAAAUCCUAGUUUUCCGAGGAGCGUCGUGCAGCGUCCGAGACCAUGAGAGGAGAGGGAGAACACAGAGAGGAAGAACACACUCGCUCCACACUCGCUCCACGCACGAGCCAGACGGUACUGGCCAAAAAGACGACGAACAAUUGCUCCGAAUAAAAUACUUUUUCAAACCUG
Long non-coding RNA from Entelurus aequoreus (snake pipefish), 608 nucleotides. RefSeq lists it as uncharacterized. The transcript is spliced from 3 exons. NCBI's taxonomy places the organism in Eukaryota, Metazoa, Chordata, Actinopteri, Syngnathiformes, Syngnathidae. The record is from RefSeq and is a predicted model, not a curated record.